UACGAACUGUGCGAACGUUAUUCGGAAUCACUGGGCUUAAAGGGUGCGUAGGCGGUUUUCUAAGUCACGUGUGAAAUCUUCCGGCUCAACCGGAAAACUGCGCGUGAUACUGGAGAACUUGAGUGAGGUAGGGGUGUGUGGAACUUCCGGUGGAGCGGUGAAAUGUGUAGAGAUCGGAAGGAACGCCAGCAGCGAAAGCGGCACACUGGGCCUUUUCUGACGCUGAGGCACGAAAGCUAGGGGAGUGAACGGG
Molecule: ribosomal RNA, 253 nt
Filed under: uncultured bacterium
Lineage: Bacteria
Description: partial 16S ribosomal RNA
Rfam family: Bacterial small subunit ribosomal RNA
Source: RNAcentral